AGCGAACGCUGGCGGCAGGCCUAACACAUGCAAGUCGAACGGGCUCUUCGGAGCUAGUGGCGGACGGGUGAGUAACACGUGGGAACGUGCCUUUAGGUUCGGAAUAAGCCCGGGAAACUGGGUCUAAUACCGAAUGGGCCCUUCGGGGGAAAGAUUUAUCGGCUUUAGAGCGGCCCGCGUCUGAUUAGCUAGUUGGUGAGGUAAUGGCUCACCAAGGCGACGAUCAGUAGGUGGUCUGAGAGGUUGACCAGCCACAUUGGGACUGAGACACGGCCCAAACUCCUGCGGGAGGCAGCAGUGGGGAAUCUUGCGCAAUGUGCGAAAGCCUGACGCAGCCGUGCCGCGUGGAUGAUGAAGGUCUUAGGAUUGUAAAAUCCUUUCACCGGUGAAGAUAAUGACUGUAGCCGGAGAAGAAGCCCCGGCUAACUUCGUGCCAGCCGCCGCCGUAA
Molecule: ribosomal RNA, 449 nt
Filed under: uncultured bacterium
Lineage: Bacteria
Description: partial 16S ribosomal RNA
Rfam family: Bacterial small subunit ribosomal RNA
Source: RNAcentral